GAUGAACGCUAGCUACAGGCUUAACACAUGCAAGUCGAGGGGAAACGGCAUCGAAAGCUUGCUUUUGAUGGGCGUCGACCGGCGCACGGGUGAGUAACGCGUAUCCAACCUGCCCAUCACUUGGGAAUAACCUUGCGAAAGUAAGACUAAUGCCCAAUGACAUCCCACGAAGGCAUCCGAAUGGGAUUAAAGAUUUAUCGGUGAUGGAUGGGGAUGCGUCUGAUUAGCUUGUUGGCGGGGUGACGGCCCACCAAGGCAACGAUCAGGAGGGGUUCUGAGAGGAAGGUCCCCCACAUUGGAACUGAGACACGGUCCAAACUCCUACGGGAGGCAGCAGUGAGGAAUAUUGGUCAAUGGGCGAGAGCCUGAACCAGCCAAGUAGCGUGCAGGAUGACGGCCCUAUGGGUUGUAAACUGCUUUUAUAAGGGAAUAAAGUGGGUCACGUGUGACUUUUUGCAUGUACCUUAUGAAUAAGGACCGGCUAAUUCCGUG
Molecule: ribosomal RNA, 492 nt
Filed under: uncultured bacterium
Lineage: Bacteria
Description: partial 16S ribosomal RNA
Rfam family: Bacterial small subunit ribosomal RNA
Source: RNAcentral